Molecule: long non-coding RNA, 1653 nt
Organism: Salvelinus fontinalis (brook trout)
Lineage: Eukaryota; Metazoa; Chordata; Actinopteri; Salmoniformes; Salmonidae
Exons: 5
Source: RefSeq, a predicted model, not a curated record
AACCAUGGAGUAGUUUUUGUGUCUCUGAACAACUGGAUAUCAAUAUAUAGUUCAUCAACGACGAGAGCUACUCGUUUCGCUUUUAAUCUAUUUUCUUUGAAAAUUGGAUACAGAACUUUGCGCCGUUCUACAAUUUCCUUCGGAAACUGAUCAUUCAUGCCAAUUUUGGUCCCAGCAAGUCUUUUACCCAGGCUUUUAACCAUUAUUUUAUCUUUAAAUGAAGCAAAUUUGGCAACGAUUGGGCGUUUGUACCUCUGCCCUCUCUGUCCGAAGCGGUGUACACGUUCAAGUUGGAUCUUGUCGAUAACUUCGCGUGGAAUCUGAAGCGCUGUAAGAAGGAACUCUCUAACUACAGAUUCAGGAACUUCUCCUUCUUUCUCUUGGAUAUUUUUAUGUACAAAUCACCAACCAACCAUGAGGCACCAGAAAGGGUUGAUCUGGUGGUUUGACUAGUUUGACGCAAACUGCACAGGCAGUGCUGAACUUGUGGCCAAAAAGACAGACGACAAAGUGUUUAGCCUCUCCAGUAAACGAACAGUUCUGAAGGCUACAUACAGUGGUUCCACAAACUACUCAUGCACAAUGCACAACCCCAAUGGGGUCCAGGAGGGGAAGGCAUCACUUGAGAUCCCGUUUGUAUGUUCCACAGGUUCAAAAUAUGAUUUCGCUUCCGAUUCCACCACCAAAUGGCUAGCCCCGGUUGGGGUCAUAGGAUCUUGAUCAUUGGACUCCUUGCUGCGCUGCUGUUAUUUAAGAGGCGCUCCGCCCGACAUGAUCCUGCAGGUAAAGAAGCCGGAGGUGGAGGUCCUGGGCUGGCGUGGUUAGAUGUGGUCUGCGGUUGUGAGGCCGGUUGGACGUACUGCCAAAUUCUCUAAAACAACGUUGGAGGUGGCUUAUGGUACAGAAGUGAACAUUAAAUUCUCUGGCAACAGCUCUAAUGGAAAUUCCUGCAGUCAACAUGCCAAAUGCACACUCACUCAAAACUAGAGACAUCUAUGGCAUUGUGAUGUGUGACAAAACUGCGCAUUUUGGACUGGCCUUUUAUUGUCCCCAGCACAAGAUGCACCUGUGUAUUGAUGAUGUUGUUUAAUCAGCUUCGUGAUAUGCCUCACUUCUCAGGUGGAUGGAUUAUUUUUGCAAAGGAGAAAUGCUCACUAACAGGGAUGUAAACUAAUUGGUCAACAAGAUGAGAAAAAUAAGCUUUUUGUGCAUAUGGAACAUUUCUGGGAUCUUUUUUUUCAGCUCAUGAAACAUGGGUCCAACACUUUACAUGUUGCGUUCAUAUUUUUGUUCAGUAUAGUUUGUUUUAAGAUUUAUUGUAAUAGUAGGUUUUGUGUAAUUUUUUUCACAGGCACUCGAAGGCAGUCCACCUUGCCAUUAAUGAGUCUAAACAGUGACACUCCACAGGACCACCGUAACAGUCUCUAGUAAAUGAUUCGUUAACUGGUAGUCUCUGAAAGGGACUGUUUCCUUGACGAUCAAUAAGGGGUUUGUCACCAUCACUAUCUUUUGAUGGACUGUUUCCUGUUAAGUGUCCGAUGACAGUCACUUUGCCACUCAGGUCAUUCUGAUUGAGGCAUUUGUUUCUUCAUAAUCUACUGAUGAUGUCAGCCGUUAAGGUCUGUGGUUGAUUACAAAUGAUAUGUAACUGCC